This 484-nucleotide ribosomal RNA is filed under the name uncultured bacterium. Its description in RNAcentral is "partial 16S ribosomal RNA". It matches the Rfam family "Bacterial small subunit ribosomal RNA", at positions 30 to 507 of the family's 1533-position model. The record is from RNAcentral.
AUUGAACGCUGGCGGCAGGCCUAACACAUGCAAGUCGAGCGGAUGAAGGGAGCUUGCUCCUGGAUUCAGCGGCGGACGGGUGAGUGAUGCCUAGGAAUCUGCCUGGUAGUGGGGGAUAACGUCCGGAAACGGGCGCUAAUACCGCAUACGUCCUGAGGGAGAAAGUGGGGGAUCUUCGGACCUUACGCUAUCAGAUGAGCCUAGGUCGGAUUAGCUAAUUGGUUGGGUAAAGGCCUACCAAGGCGACGAUCCGUUACUGGUCUGAUAGGAUGAUCAGUCACACUGGAACUGAGACACGGUCCAGACUCCUACGGGAGGCAGCAGUGGGGAAUAUUGGACAAUGGGCGAAAGCCUGAUCCAGCCAUGCCGCGUGGGUGAAGAAGGUCUUCGGAUUGUAAAGCACUUUAAGUUGGGAAGAAAGGCAGUAAGUUAAUACCUUGCUGUUUUGACGUUACCAACAGAAUAAGCACCGGCUAACUUCGUG